Molecule: ribosomal RNA, 253 nt
Filed under: uncultured bacterium
Lineage: Bacteria
Description: partial 16S ribosomal RNA
Rfam family: Bacterial small subunit ribosomal RNA
Source: RNAcentral
GACGGAGGGUGCUAGCGUUGUUCGGAAUGACUGGGCGUAAAGGGCGCGUAGGCGGCUCGUGAAGUCGGGUGUGAAAGCCCGGGGCUCAACCCCGGAACGGCAUCCGAUACUGGCGGGCUUGAGACCGGGAGAGGAGGGUGGAAUACCCAGUGUAGAGGUGAAAUUCGUAGAUAUUGGGUGGAACACCGGUGGCGAAAGCGGCUCUCUGGCCCGGUACUGACGCUGAGGAGCGAAAGCGUGGGGAGCGAACAGG